Long non-coding RNA from Oncorhynchus tshawytscha (Chinook salmon), 2047 nucleotides. The record is from Ensembl. NCBI's taxonomy places the organism in Eukaryota, Metazoa, Chordata, Actinopteri, Salmoniformes, Salmonidae.
GGUAGAAGUAACAGUCAGUGGAUAUUCCCCCUUCCUUUUUUUCCUUUUUUUUAUAUUGUAUCUUUUCACAGCUCCUGUGAAAGUUUGGAUAUGUGUAAAACCAUCCAUACCUACUGGGUUAAUGCUAGUUGAAUCAAUGUUGUUUCCAUGUAAUUUCAAUGAAAUGACAUUGAACCAACGUGGAAUAGACAUUGACUUGACGUCUGUGUCCAGUGGGUAGUCUACGUUGUCUAAGGCCUAAUAUUAUAUGUCCACGGGGAGAAAUUAGGGCACUUCAACGUCUAGAUCUUCCAACGAGCGGAGGAUCCUCUACCAUGAGUCGCCCAGCGAGCCAGCACCCCAGCCCAUUCAACAGUCUGCCCAGGUCAGCGAUGCCCGUUUGUCGGGACUCCAUCCAAAUCCUGUGGUUUCCUCCUCUAGUGCACCCUCUAUUUUGCUCAUCAGAUGGGAGCCCCCACCACCGAGAGGUCCAAGGUUGUCAUGGUUAUUUCCCUGCUAAUCGGUCAGGCAUUGUAGUGGGCUAUGGCCAUCUGGGAGAGGAGCUGGGUUCCUAUGAGAGGUUCAUGGAUCUGUUCAGGGGAGUCUUUGAUCAUCCACCGGAGGGCAGAGAGGGGGGGUGAGUGCCUACUCCAACUAUGGCAGGAGGGCCAGGGUACUGCGGAGUACGUCCUCACCUUCCGUACAGUGGCAGCAUCCAGCGACUGGAAUGAGCCGGGCUCCACACCUUAUACAGAAGAGGAUUGUGCGAAGAGGUCCAGACAGCGUUAGCAUGCCCGAGAUGACACCCUCUCAUUGGACACAUUCAUUGCGAUGGCCAUCCGUCUGGAUAACCUCCUUUGGAAGAGUCGGCACCCCCAUCGCCUUUCUCCCUCCUUUGUUGACCGUUCUGAGUCAGAGCCUGAACCCAUGGCGGUAGGGGACAUGCCUUUCCACGGUUGAGCGACGACGUCCCUGUAGUGGUCAAGAGGGGCACCAGCUUCAACGGUGUCCGCUACAUCCCAACCCGGGAGCCACUAGAGCAAAGGGACGGCCCCAUGAUCAUCAGUCUCCCGGGGUCACUGAGACACUGUUCCAGCAGGUCUUCUGGCACUAUGGUCUUCCAGAGGACAUCAUCUCCGACCGUGGUCCCCAAUUCACGUCGCAGGAAUGGAGAGCCUUCAUGGAGAAGCUGGGAGUCACGGUCAGUCUCACAUCCAGGUAACGGUCUCAGUCCAACGGGCAGGUGGAGAGGACCAACCAGCAGUGAGGCACCCGUAUUUCAUCCUGGUGAUCACGUCUGGCUCUCCACCAGGAACCUCCUGCUCUGCUGGAAGCUGAGCCCCCAGUUUGUGGGGCCAUUCAAAGUCCUCAGGAGGGUCAAUGAGGUAACUUACCGAUUACAGCUCCCCACUAACUUCUGGAUCUCACCCUCUUUUCACGUUUCCCUCAGGCUGGGGGUUCCUGGUCCCCUGGCUGAUGCCGUCCCCAACUACACCCCUCCGCCUCCCCUGGACAUCGAGGGAAACCCCACAUAUGCCGUCAGAUCCCUCCUGGACUCCCAACAUCGUGGGGGUCAGCUCCAGUACCUGGUGGACUGGGAGGGGUAUGGUCCAGAGGAGCGGUGUUGAGUUCCAGUGGAUGACAUUCUAGAUCCUAACAUCAUCCGUGAUUUCCACCGCUGAUGUCCGGACCAGCCCACUCCUCGCCCUCGGUGCCGUCAUCCUGGCCGGCGUCAUCCUGCGGCUGGAGCUGCACAUUGGGGGGGUGGGUACUGUCACAUCUACUCCCGCUUACCCUUUUCUGCACUCAACGUCACCGGUCUACUAACCACCGGUCCUGGCAACCUAUCAUUACGCACACCUGGCAACCUUCAUUACGCACACAUGCAUCUCAUCAUUAGGCACAACUGGAGUUCAUCACUUCCCUGAUUACUCCCCCUUAAUCUAGCACUUCGUUGUUAUCACCCAUCAUACAGCAUUGUUUCUGUGUUCAUGUUCAGAUGCUACUCUUGUUUGUUUAUUUACUCUGUUCGUUCUUAUUAAACUCACCGACUGCACCUGCUUCCUGA